RNAcentral lists this ribosomal RNA (258 nucleotides) under uncultured bacterium. Its description in RNAcentral is "partial 16S ribosomal RNA". It matches the Rfam family "Bacterial small subunit ribosomal RNA", at positions 96 to 354 of the family's 1533-position model. The record is from RNAcentral.
UGGCGGACGGGUGAGUAACGCGUGGGUAACCUACCUCACACAGGGGGAUAACAGUUGGAAACGACCGCUAAUACCGCAUAAGCCGGAAGGAUCGCAUGAUCCGGCCGGAAAAGAUUUAUCGGUGUGAGAUGGACCCGCGUCUGAUUAGCCAGUUGGCAGGGUAACGGCCUACCAAAGCGACGAUCAGUAGCCGGCCUGAGAGGGUGAACGGCCACAUUGGGACUGAGACACGGCCCAAACUCCUACGGGAGGCAGCAG